Molecule: ribosomal RNA, 417 nt
Filed under: Triticum aestivum (bread wheat)
Lineage: Eukaryota; Viridiplantae; Streptophyta; Magnoliopsida; Poales; Poaceae
Description: partial small subunit ribosomal RNA
Source: RNAcentral
AUGCAGCUAACUAACUUGACUCAGCUCGGUUACUACCUCCACCAAGCGAACUCUAUGCAGCUAACUAACCACACUGCAUGCAUGCUGACUAAACUGAUUCACCAAUUCCCUCGGCUAGUACUAGUACACCCUGUUGGCCUCAGCACUUGCACCACAGCUUCAUGCAGCACGCACACUCGCCACGGCGCAGCGUCCCGCACGUCCCGCGCGCACCUAACACGCCCGACGAGCCCGACCGCACCAGACGCCGUGGCUUAUUCCAACACACACCCCCUAAGCCACGGCCUCGCCGUCCAUCCUGACAGGACUCCGGCCUCUUGUCGACUGCCACGGAGAACGCCCUUCUUCACCUCCGGCGACACACGCCGCAGCUUCUCUUCUCGGUGCACUGACGCCGCCGGCCGCAACUACGGCUGA